CACGGCGCACGGGUGCGUAACACGUGGGCAAUCUGCCCUCCGAUGGGGAAUAACCCCGCGAAAGCGGGGCUAAUACCGCAUAACAUUCCUUGGACGAUGGUUUGAGGAUUCAAAGCAGUGAUGCGUCGGAGGAGGAGCCCGCGCCCGAUUAGCUAGUUGGUGAGGUAACGGCUCACCAAGGCAAUGAUCGGUAGCUGGUCUGAGAGGAUGGCCAGCCACACUGGAACUGAGACACGGUCCAGACUCCUACGGGAGGCAGCAGUGGGGAAUCUUGCGCAAUGGGCGAAAGCCUGACGCAGCGACGCCGCGUGGGGGAUGAAGCUUUUCGGAGUGUAAACCCCUUUCGACUGGGACGAAUGCCCGCGAGGGAGUGACGGUACCAGUAGAAGAAGCCCCGGCUAACUACGUGCCAGCAGCCGCGGUAAGACGUAGGGGGCCAGCGUUGUUCGGAAUUACUGGGUGUAAAGGGUUCGUAGGCGGUGCGGCAAGUCGGGAGUGAAAUCUCUGGGCUUAACUCAGAGGCUGCUUCCGA
This 532-nucleotide ribosomal RNA is filed under the name uncultured bacterium. RNAcentral describes it as "bacterial SSU rRNA". It matches the Rfam family "Bacterial small subunit ribosomal RNA", at positions 94 to 630 of the family's 1533-position model. The record is from RNAcentral.